GACAGCAGCAGCCGCGGUAAUACGGAGGGGGCUAGCGUUGUUCGGAAUCACUGGGCGUAAAGCGCACGUAGGCUGCUAUGUAAGUCAGAGGUGAAAGCCCGGGGCUCAACCCCGGAUGUGCCUUUGAGACUGCAGGGCUAGAACGUCGGAGAGGUGAGUGGAAUUCCGAGUGUAGAGGUGAAAUUCGUAGAUAUUCGGAAGAACACCAGUGGCGAAGGCGGCUCACUGGACGACUGUUGACGCUGAGGCACGAAAGCGUGGGGAGCAAACAGGAUUAGAUACCCCAGUAGUCCCUGUCUCUUAUAC
RNAcentral lists this ribosomal RNA (306 nucleotides) under uncultured bacterium. RNAcentral's name for it is "partial 16S ribosomal RNA". It matches the Rfam family "Bacterial small subunit ribosomal RNA", at positions 507 to 807 of the family's 1533-position model. The record is from RNAcentral.